This 292-nucleotide ribosomal RNA is filed under the name uncultured bacterium. RNAcentral's name for it is "partial 16S ribosomal RNA". It matches the Rfam family "Bacterial small subunit ribosomal RNA", at positions 505 to 796 of the family's 1533-position model. The record is from RNAcentral.
GUGUCAGCAGCCGCGGUAAUACGGAGGGUGCAAGCGUUAUCCGGAUUCACUGGGUUUAAAGGGUGCGUAGGCGGGCAUUUAAGUCAGUGGUGAAAUACCUGAGCUUAACUUGGGAACUGCCAUUGAUACUAUUUGUCUUGAAUGUCGUGGAGGUUAGCGGAAUAUGUCAUGUAGCGGUGAAAUGCUUAGAUAUGACAUAGAACACCUAUUGCGAAGGCAGCUAACUACGCGAAUAUUGACGCUGAGGCACGAAAGCGUGGGGAUCAAACAGGAUUAGAAACCCCCGUAGUCC